Long non-coding RNA from Haemorhous mexicanus (house finch), 4300 nucleotides. RefSeq lists it as uncharacterized. NCBI's taxonomy places the organism in Eukaryota, Metazoa, Chordata, Aves, Passeriformes, Fringillidae. The record is from RefSeq and is a predicted model, not a curated record. The transcript has 2 exons.
UUCUGAUUUUAUGCUCAGGAUACAUAAACAUACAAGGGCCAAAGGUGGAGCAUGACCUAAAUUUGUAAAAAAAAAUGUUCAUAGUGUAGUAUGAAAACAAAAAUGCACUACAUGGAAGAAUAAGUAGUUGUGCCAGAGUCAGUCAUGCUACUGUCUUAUCAUGUUCUUUAUUCACAAGCUGGUGGAAUUCAACCCGGUUACUCACAUUUGAUCCAACAUUGCUUUAUAAUUGAUGAUGAAGUGGGAGAAAGAAAUUGAAAAAAAGAUUUCAACAUGAAAAAAUGAAUAGAUUUUUUUUUUCAUUGUGGAAAGAGAUUAAUUUUCACAUACUCGGUUUUAUGUUACAGAUCACUGGCACAGCAGUAUGGAGAAGCUUGUAUGAAAGCUGUCUGCACAAGCCCAGCUCAACUCACUGCUAAAAGUUAUUAAUUCUUUUAGAAAUUUUUAGAAAGAAAAUGAAGAACUUGCUCAGACAUAUCCUUUCUGAUGUUUUUGGAACAUUGUGUGCCACAGAUGUGGCCAGGAAAAAACUAAGAGUUCCAUCAUUUAGGACUAUUCCCAAAUCAGGUUGGAUUGAGCUUUAAAUUACAUGAAUUCCUUCAGCAAAAAUUCUAAGGCCUGACCAGACCAGAAGGACAUACAUUAAUAAUAGUGAUAAGCUCCUUUCUGCAGCCAGUUUGUAAAUCUGGAUCCAACGUUACUAGGCCAAUAGCAAUGUUGUGAAUGAAGUUAUUGUGUUGAAUCUGUCUAUGGAGCAUGCUGUUCUUGUGCCAUGCCAUUCCUCCAGUAGACUCCAUCAGCUGCCAGGCAAGAGGAGUUCAUGUCUGUAGAGAGCGAGAUGCCAACCCUGCCUGACACUGGUUUAGAGAUUGUGAUAAAAGAGAAGGGAAAAAACACCAAAUGAGCACAUGGGUUAAUGGCUGCUAUUUUAGUCUCUUGGGGACACUGCCAGCUGCCAUUAAGUCAAAGUAGCCCUCAGGCUCUACUUGGUUUCAUGAUGAAUAAUUUAGGCUUUCCUGGUGCAGAGCCGGUUGCAUUGGCUUUGUAUGAUAGAUUCUACAGAUCUCCACUGUGAGCACAGGAGUGUAAGUAUAUGGUGUCACAUAUGGGUGUGAUGGAUCAACCUCCUGUGUUCUGUUCAACAGCAACUGCAAUAAUCUUUAUGAACUAGAGAGUCUGUAUAUCCUUACAGAUGUCCUCCUUCAGAUCUGGAUAGUUUGGUUUUGUGGGACUUAUUGCCAGUCAAAAUAUUCUUUGAUAUCAAUUUAUUUUAAGGGGUCAAUAAUGGGACUGGACAUUUUUCUACCCACUGAAAAAAAGUAGUGCAUAUCUGAAUAAAUAACUCAAAGUGGCUUCUUACUGUUCAGGAAGUACAAUCAAUUUGAAAUUAGGAUUAUGGAAACAUCUGUGUAAAUUCAAGUGUCAUCUCAAUUUGGGCUCAUUCAGGUCCUGUAUUUUUUCUACUUCCCAAGCAGUGCAUUUAAAAUCUAAUCCUAAUUAACACACAUAGUUUAAUUAUAGCCAACAAAAUAUUCUCCUAAAAUUGUAUGUGGUAGCUGGGGUUUGGGUAUGGAGGGAGGAGGCAAGGAGGGAACAAAUGUUCACUGAUUGUAAAAAUCCUUAUUUUGUUAGUAAUAUAUAUCUUUAAAGGCUUUAAACAUACAAUGAAAUUUUCCUCCUGUAAAUGAAAGUGGCAUAAAAAGUGUGAAGCAAGCACUCAUACUCUCUUUUUCUCCUUACUCAUUUCUUGGUAAUUUGAAACGAAGGAACUGCACUGGAAUUUAAAACUUUCUUUUGAAUCAAUUUCCUCAUAACUUAUCACAUAAAAUGUACAAUGCUGCUGCCGGUAGAAACAAAUAAAUCAAUUUAGGAUGUCAUGGAUAGAUCUUGGGAAGAUUUGAAAUUUGAGACGAGUACUGGAAAAGCUGGGGUGGUCUGUCACUACAAACUUUGUUGUACAUCAGCAGAACUCUUUGGCAUUACUGGGUGGCUUGGAGGUCCUAUGAGAUUUUCAAUACUUCUGAAUUGUUUUGGCACAAAAAGUCUGAAAAUGGAAACAUCAUAUUAGGCUUUUUCAGAAUGCUGACAUUCCUGGACCAGAUCUCAGAGUACAAAGUAUCCCAGCUCAGGGAUACGGUAACCCUUCAUGAGCAGCACUCAGAAGGUUUUUGCUUGAGGAUCUGUUUACCCUGCAGUCAAACUUCUUGCCUGUGCCCUUGAGUGUACUUUGAGUCCACUCAAAGUCCAGCCCCCCUGGUUCCCCAGCACAGUGUUUCGUGUCCACCAGGUCCACCACAAUAUUUGCACAGUCACUUAGAGUUCUGUUCUGGCCACUGGUAAGAUAUUUUUUUCACAGAGGUAUUGGGAAAAAGUUUUUGGAUGAUAUAAUGGGAAGCAAGAAACGUUAGCCUAGUACUUCACUGAAAACAAAACUGUACCCAAUUAUUAACUUCCUCUAAGUCAGACCAUUUCUGCUUUGUUGUGCUUUUGUUUGAGGCUCUCUUAAUAUAUUUCAUGUCACAGAGAGUUAAAUCCUACAAUGGCAAAUGUCCUCAAACUUUGAUCAGCACUACUUCUUGUGCAUUUCCAGGCUCUUGCUGUUUUGUCAUUUACAUACAUCUUUCUACUGCAUAUUCUGUGUGAAAAAGUCUUUCACAAGGUUGUCCUAGUGGUCAUGUGGCAAUAAAAGUUGAUGGAUCUAGACUUCUUAUUGAUGUCUUUCUAAGAGGUGUCAAGAUCAGCAUUUUUCCUGUCCUAACAGUAAACUAAAAGAGAAUGCAGCAGCCUUGGCUUGACAAGGUCAGAUAUUUUUUCACUUCAUAAAAAGAAAAAGGAGAUUAAAAUAAAAAAUGGACUUGGUAACAUUUUUUAAUAUGUCGCUUUCUGUCAAACACGACAAUGGAAACAAUGAAUGACUAAUUUUUUUCUCCUUUUUGGGUCAGAUUUAUUUCUGCUUUCAGCAGGAAGAGGUUAAUUAUAAGGUCAGAUGAUCUGUAUUUCCUAUUUUUUUUUUUUUUUAAGAGUGAGUUAGGAGAUUAGGAGACAUAAUUUCUCUAAGAAUGAGUUAAACUCAGCUAUAAAGUAAGGCUAAGAGCUUAAUGUGGACAAAAUUUGGACCAACAAAUUAAAUUAAAAUAGAAGAGUAUUAUUACAGAAAUGGACCUUUUCCUCAGCUGGUUCCCAUACGCUCCUUUGCACUGUAUCUACUUGACUGAAGGUGCUGUGUUGAAAGAGAAGUAGGAAGAAUGCCUGAAAGGGAUCAACCAUUGCUUUUGUGAACAAAUACCAGCAAUUAAGCUAGACAUUUUUGUAUGUAGAGGGAAUAAAACUUGUGAAUUGUAGUACUACUGCUUCAUUCCUCUGCCUCAAGAUUCUGGGGAUGGACUGGUGUUGAAGGUGACUUAAAAUGCACUUAAAUAAGUGCAAAGAGAGAUCAGUUAUCUGCUGUUUUGUCUGAAUUAUGAAUACUCCUAGGUGGAAGUCAUUCCCAUGCCUUCUAGAAUAUCAGUGCUACGUGGCUACUUCAUGUCUAUCCAGAGUAAGGUAUGGGGGCAAAUUUCACUUGCAAUUCUGAAAUAUCUAAUCUUAGAAGCUUCUGUCAGCUCAGAGGAGAGCAGCUGGUUUGUUUCAUAGGACAGGUGAAAGUACAUGAUUCCUACCUUAGUGUCUCUGUACAGAAAUGUCAGAAACAUCAGGAGUUUGGUCUUAGUAUUUUAAAUCUUUAUGUAUGGGAUUUAACCAACUUAAUGAAGGGAACCAUUCCAUCUUCCCUAAUCAGAGUAGGUCAGCAGAAGAAAGACAUCCAGCAGCACCUGACAAUCAAGUCAAGGCUGUCUCUUUCAGAUAUCAUGGGGAAAGAACAUGGAUGCAAGAUGAUACUUAAUUGCCCACAGCAGGGGAACCUGACUAAAGGACCUGGGACUGAGCACAGCCUUAGCCUUGCUACUCUAAGAUCAGAAUCAUUAAGGAGGCAGUGCACCAGCUGUGUCUUUCUCGAAGCUAUCCUAAGAACAGUCUUUCUUCCCUACACACAUAGUGAGGUGAUUCCCUAUGGCUCUUCAUCAACUUGUUGGUUCUUAAACCGACCCUUAGCUUUUUGCCCUAGAUAUUUCUCAGCUUUUCUCAGUUAGUAACUAUUCAGAGAAAGAAUAAAGCUGUAAUUAUUCUUAACUUUAAAUCAUAGAUGUGGUAUUAUGUGCGCCAAGAAUGACAUGGGAUAAAAAUUGAGCUGGAAAUAUACACUGCAGCAAAAUUGUGGAAAGCUAACAAAAAAUAAUAAAAUAAAUUGCACAGCUACACA